RNAcentral lists this ribosomal RNA (581 nucleotides) under uncultured Planctomycetia bacterium. RNAcentral's name for it is "bacterial SSU rRNA". It matches the Rfam family "Bacterial small subunit ribosomal RNA", at positions 58 to 662 of the family's 1533-position model. Lineage: Bacteria; Pseudomonadati; Planctomycetota; Planctomycetia. The record is from RNAcentral.
CAAGUCGGACGGGCCGCAAGGCCAGUGGCGCAAGGGUGGGUAAGGCGAAGGUAACCAACCCCGCGGAUGGGCAUAGCCGGGGGAAACCCCGGGUAAUUCCCAGCGACAUGACGACCCGGCAUCGGGAUGUCAUCAAAGAUUCAUCGCCGCGGGACGGGCCUUCGUGGUAUUAGCUUGUUGGCGGGGUGACGGCCCACCAAGGCCGCGAUGCCUACCGGGCGUGCGAGCGUGGCCCGGCACACUGGGACUGAGACACUGCCCAGACUCCUACGGGAGGCUGCAGUCGAGAAUCUUCGGCAAUGGGCGCAAGCCUGACCGAGCGACGCCGCGUGGAGGACGAAGGCCCUCGGGUUGUAAACUCCUGUCGAGGGGGAGGAAGGCGCAAGCUUGACCGAUCCCUGGAGGAAGCACGGGCUAAGUUCGUGCCAGCAGCCGCGGUAAGACGAACCGUGCGAACGUUAUUCGGAAUCACUGGGCUUAAAGCGCGUGUAGGCGGGCCGCCCCGUCGGCUGCUGAAAUCCCCCGGCUCAACCGGGGAAGUGGCACCGAUACGAGCGGCCUCGAGGGGGGUAGGGGGGUCU